GGGGGGGGGGGGGGGGGGGGGGGGGGGGGGGGGGGGGGGGGGGGGGGGGGGUCAUUGGUCACGUGGUUCAGCAGCCUUUUUUUUUUAACAAACAAAAAAACCUAAAUUCUUCUCCGAAACAGAUCGAGGCGAAUCUUUACAUGUAUGAUCGCCUAUCCAUGAGGAACAAAAAGUUAUCCACCGAUGAUAGGUUACAUGGUUCGGCAGCUAUGAAUUUUUGAACAAUGAACCUUUUUACAUAAACCUCCUCCAGAAUGGCUUGACAGAUCGAAGGGAAACUUCACCCACAUGUUCCCCAAGCUUGGGGAUACCAGAGUGUUCACAAAUAAUUAAUAAGUCACAUGAUCUGGCAGCCAUAUUGGAAUGAAGCAAAACCUUGAAAAAAAUUAUUUCUCUUGAACCACUUCAUCAAACGACGUGAAACUACACUAUUAUGAUCCAGUAGUCGUGGGGAAGAUACAUGUUUUAAAUUUCACCCUGAUUGGACACAUGGUCUGGCAGCAACAUAUAUUUAAUGUUUUGAAUCUCAUUUCAGGGAUUUAAAUCAAACUUGGUACAAGUAUGUACAACUAGCAAACUUGGUACAAGUAUGUACAACUUCACUUUGAUGAAGGGAAUGUUAAAGGGGGGAGAGAAAGGGGGAGGGAGGGAUAGUGGACGGAGGUGAGGAGACAAGGACGGAGGACGGAGGUGAGGGCACGAGGACGGAGGACGGAGGUGAGGGCACGAGGACGGAGGACGGAGGACGGAGGACGGAGGACGGAGGACGGAGGCGAGGGCACGAGGACGGAGGCGAGGGCACGAGGGCGGAGGACGGAGGUGAGGGCACGAGGACGGAGGACAGAGGUGAGGGCACGAGGACGGAGGACGGAGGACGGAGGACGGAGGACGGAGGACGGGGGACGAGGGGACAGAGGAUGGAGGGACGAGAAGACGAGGGUACGAGGGUACGAGGACGAGGGGACGAGGAGGGAGGACAGGGGACGGAGGACGGGGGACGGAGGACAGAGGACGGAGGGGAGGGAACGAGGAUGGAGGAGAGGGAACGAGGACGGAGGGGAGGAGAGGGCAUAAGGACGGAGGAGGGAGGGGAGGGCAUGGAACGCGGACGGAGGGGAGGGCAGGAGGACGGAGGACGGAGGAGAGGGCAUAAGGACGGAGGAGGGAG
Molecule: long non-coding RNA, 1168 nt
Filed under: Eptatretus burgeri (inshore hagfish)
Lineage: Eukaryota; Metazoa; Chordata; Myxini; Myxiniformes; Myxinidae
Description: lncRNA (ENSEBUG00000017107.1)
Source: RNAcentral